This 158-nucleotide non-coding RNA is filed under the name uncultured Anaeroplasma sp. The record is from RNAcentral. Lineage: Bacteria; Bacillati; Mycoplasmatota; Mollicutes; Anaeroplasmatales; Anaeroplasmataceae.
UUAUUUAGGUGCUUAGCGAUAAGCUUAAUAAGGAACACAAGUGAAAGACUUGGGCUGUACCAGCAACUGUGAUGCUGAUGAAAUCAAAUUUACCAUUGGAUUUAUAUCUGAGAAGGUUGACGUAGGAUGAAGCAAAGCCAGGAGACUUGCCUAAAUAC